GACGAACGCUGGCGGCGUGCUUAACACAUGCAAGUCGAACGGAAAGGCCCUGCUUUUGUGGGGUGCUCGAGUGGCGAACGGGUGAGUAACACGUGAGUAACCUGCCCUUGACUUUGUGAUAACUUCAGGAAACUGGGGCUAAUACCGGAUAUGAGCUCCUGCUGCAUGGUGGGGGUUGGAAAGUUUCGGCGGUUGGGGAUGGACUCGCGGCUUAUCCGCUUGUUGGUGUGGUAGUGGCUUACCAAGGCUUUGACGGGUAGCCGGCCUGAGAGGGUGACCGGCCACAUUGGGACUGAGAUACGGCCCAGACUCCUACGGGAGGCAGCAGUGGGGAAUAUUGCACAAUGGGCGGAAGCCUGAUGCAGCAACGCCGCGUGCGGGAUGACGGCCUUCGGGUUGUAAACCGCUUUCGCCUGUGACGAAGCGUGAGUGACGGUAAUGGGUAAAGAAGCACCGGCUAACUACGUG
Molecule: ribosomal RNA, 468 nt
Filed under: uncultured bacterium
Lineage: Bacteria
Description: partial 16S ribosomal RNA
Rfam family: Bacterial small subunit ribosomal RNA
Source: RNAcentral